AAAGUUUGAUCCUGGCUCACUUUGAACGCUGGCGGUAUGCUUAACAUAUGCAAGUCGAACGGUAACAGGCCUUCGGGCGCUGACGAGUGGCGGACGGGUGAGUAACGCGUAGGAAUCUGCCUCAUAGUGGGGGACAACGUGGGGAAACUCACGCUAAUACCGCAUACGCCCUACGGGGGAAAGCGGGGGAUCUUCGGACCUCGCGCUAUGAGAUGAGCCUGCGUUAGAUUAGCUAGUUGGUAGGGUAAAGGCCUACCAAGGCGACGAUCUAUAGCUGGUCUGAGAGGACGAUCAGCCACACUGGGACUGAGACACGGCCCAGACUCCUACGGGAGGCAGCAGUGGGGAAUAUUGGACAAUGGGCGCAAGCCUGAUCCAGCGAUACCGCGUGUGUGAAGAAGGCCCUAGGGUUGWAAAGCACUUUCAAUUGGGAGGAAAACCUGCCGGUCAAUACCCGGUAGCUUGACAUUACCUUUAGAAGAAGCACCGGCUAACUCCGUGCCAGCAGCCGCGGUAAUACGGAGGGUGCAAGCGUUAAUCGGAAUUACUGGGCGUAAAGCGUGCGUAGGCGGUUCGUUAAGUCAGAUGUGAAAGCCCCGGGCUUAACCUGGGAACUGCAUUUGAAACUGGCGGACUAGAGUUGAGUAGAGGGGAGUGGAAUUUCACGUGUAGCGGUGAAAUGCGUAGAUAUCUGAAGGAACACCAGUGGCGAAGGCGACUCCCUGGACUCAAACUGACGCUGAGGUACGAAAGCGUGGGUAGCAAACAGGAUUAGAUACCCUGGUAGUCCACGCUGUAAACGAUGUCAACUAGCCGUUGGUCCUAUUUACAGGAUUAGUGGCCGCAGCUAACGCAUUAAGUUGACCGCCUGGGGAGUACGGUCGCAAGGUUAAAAUUCAAAUGAAUUGACGGGGGWCCGCMCAGCGGUGGAGCAUGKGAUUUAACUUCGAUGCAACGCGAGAUCCUUACUACYCUUGACAUCAGAUAUCUGUUAGARAUAGUARAGUGCUUCGGAACUCUGAAACGUGCUGCAUGCUKUCGUCMGCCUCGGUUCUUGAAAKUUGGUAAGUUCCGUUACGAGCAACUAUCCUAAUGGCCMCCGGUCAGCUGGACYUAGGGAAACUKCSGGGUGWWAUAAAACG
RNAcentral lists this ribosomal RNA (1142 nucleotides) under uncultured bacterium. Its description in RNAcentral is "bacterial SSU rRNA". It matches the Rfam family "Bacterial small subunit ribosomal RNA", at positions 8 to 1165 of the family's 1533-position model. The record is from RNAcentral.